ACAGAGGAUGCAAGCGUUAUCCGGAAUGAUUGGGCGUAAAGCGUCUGUAGGUGGUUUAAAAAGUAUUUUAUUAAAGAUUAGAGCUUAACUCUAGAUAUGUGAAAUAAACUUUUAGACUUGAGUUUGGUAGAGGUAGAGGGAAUUUCCGGUGAAACGGUGAAAUGUGUUGAUAUCGGAAGGAACACCAAAGGCGAAGGCACUCUACUGGGCCAAUACUGACACUGAGAGACGAAAGCGAGGGGAGCAAAUGG
Molecule: ribosomal RNA, 251 nt
Filed under: uncultured prokaryote
Description: partial 16S rRNA
Rfam family: Bacterial small subunit ribosomal RNA
Source: RNAcentral